GCUCAGGAUGAACGCUGGCGGCGUGCUUAACACAUGCAAGUCGAGCGAAGCACCUUGACGGAUUUCUUCGGAUUGAAGCCUUGGUGACUGAGCGGCGGACGGGUGAGUAACGCGUGGGUAACCUGCCUCAUACAGGGGGAUAACAGUUGGAAACGGCUGCUAAUACCGCAUAAGCGCACAGUACCGCAUGGUACGGUGUGAAAAACUCCGGUGGUAUGAGAUGGACCCGCGUCUGAUUAGGUAGUUGGUGGGGUAACGGCCUACCAAGCCGACGAUCAGUAGCCGACCUGAGAGGGUGACCGGCCACAUUGGGACUGAGACACGGCCCAAACUCCUACGGGAGGCAGCAGUA
This 352-nucleotide ribosomal RNA is filed under the name uncultured bacterium. Its description in RNAcentral is "bacterial SSU rRNA". It matches the Rfam family "Bacterial small subunit ribosomal RNA", at positions 22 to 356 of the family's 1533-position model. The record is from RNAcentral.